AUUGAACGCUGGCGGUAUGCUUAACACAUGCAAGUCGAACGGUAACAGGCCUUCGGGCGCUGACGAGUGGCGGACGGGUGAGUAACGCGUAGGAAUCUGCCUCAUAGUGGGGGACAACGUGGGGAAACUCACGCUAAUACCGCAUACGCCCUACGGGGAAAGCGGGGGAUCUUCGGACCUCGCGCUAUGAGAUGAGCCUGCGUUAGAUUAGCUAGUUGGUAGGGUAAAGGCCUACCAAGGCGACGAUCUAUAGCUGGUCUGGGAGGACGAUCAGCCACACUGGGACUGAGACACGGCCCAGACUCCUACGGGAGGCAGCAGUGGGGAAUAUUGGACAAUGGGCGCAAGCCUGAUCCAGCAAUACCGCGUGUGUGAAGAAGGCCCUAGGGUUGUAAAGCACUUUCAAUUGGGAGGAAAACCUGCCGGUCAAUACCCGGCAGCUUGACAUUACCUUUAG
RNAcentral lists this ribosomal RNA (457 nucleotides) under uncultured bacterium. RNAcentral's name for it is "bacterial SSU rRNA". It matches the Rfam family "Bacterial small subunit ribosomal RNA", at positions 30 to 484 of the family's 1533-position model. The record is from RNAcentral.